AUUGAACGCUGGCGGCAUGCUUUACACAUGCAAGUCGAACGGUAACAGGCCUUCGGGUGCUGACGAGUGGCGCACGGGUGAGUAAUGCAUCGGAACGUACCCAGAGGUGGGGGAUAACGCAGCGAAAGCUGUGCUAAUACCGCAUGUGAUCUGAGGAUGAAAGCGGGGGACCGAGCAGCAAUGUUUGGCCUCGCGCCUUUGGAGCGGCCGAUGUCGGAUUAGCUAGUUGGUGGGGUAAAGGCCUACCAAGGCGACGAUCCGUAGCUGGUCUGAGAGGACGACCAGCCACACUGGGACUGAGACACGGCCCAGACUCCUACGGGAGGCAGCAGUGGGGAAUUUUGGACAAUGGGCGCAAGCCUGAUCCAGCAAUGCCGCGUGCGGGAAGAAGGCCUUCGGGUUGUAAACCGCUUUUGGCAGGAACGAAACGGUGUCCGCUAAUACCGGGCGCUAAUGACGGUACCUGCAGAAUAAGCACCGACUAACUACGUG
RNAcentral lists this ribosomal RNA (492 nucleotides) under uncultured bacterium. RNAcentral describes it as "partial 16S ribosomal RNA". It matches the Rfam family "Bacterial small subunit ribosomal RNA", at positions 29 to 507 of the family's 1533-position model. The record is from RNAcentral.